Molecule: ribosomal RNA, 536 nt
Filed under: Salmonella enterica
Lineage: Bacteria; Pseudomonadati; Pseudomonadota; Gammaproteobacteria; Enterobacterales; Enterobacteriaceae
Also listed under: 1 other name
Description: bacterial SSU rRNA
Rfam family: Bacterial small subunit ribosomal RNA
Source: RNAcentral
UUUCCAGAGAUGGAUUGGUGCCUUCGGGAACCGUGAGACAGGUGCUGCAUGGCUGUCGUCAGCUCGUGUUGUGAAAUGUUGGGUUAAGUCCCGCAACGAGCGCAACCCUUAUCCUUUGUUGCCAGCGGUCCGGCCGGGAACUCAAAGGAGACUGCCAGUGAUAAACUGGAGGAAGGUGGGGAUGACGUCAAGUCAUCAUGGCCCUUACGACCAGGGCUACACACGUGCUACAAUGGCGCAUACAAAGAGAAGCGACCUCGCGAGAGCAAGCGGACCUCAUAAAGUGCGUCGUAGUCCGGAUUGGAGUCUGCAACUCGACUCCAUGAAGUCGGAAUCGCUAGUAAUCGUGGAUCAGAAUGCCACGGUGAAUACGUUCCCGGGCCUUGUACACACCGCCCGUCACACCAUGGGAGUGGGUUGCAAAAGAAGUAGGUAGCUUAACCUUCGGGAGGGCGCUUACCACUUUGUGAUUCAUGACUGGGGUGAAGUCGUAACAAGGUAACCGUAGGGGAACCUGCGGUUGGAUCACCUCCUUA